This 766-nucleotide ribosomal RNA is filed under the name Meloidogyne incognita (southern root-knot nematode). RNAcentral describes it as "partial large subunit ribosomal RNA". It matches the Rfam family "Eukaryotic large subunit ribosomal RNA", at positions 343 to 965 of the family's 3401-position model. The record is from RNAcentral. Lineage: Eukaryota; Metazoa; Nematoda; Chromadorea; Rhabditida; Meloidogynidae.
UACAAGUACCCCGUGAGGGAAAGUUGCAAAGCACUUUGAAGAGAGAGUUAAAGAGGACGUGAAACCGGUAAGGUGGAAACGGAUAGAGUCGGCGUAUCAUUCAAGUAUUCAGUUACAUUAUUUUUAUGUUGUGACCUCUGAGCUCCAGAUUGGGACAGAGGGAAUCAGCAUAAUUUUUUGUGGUGCAUUUACUUGAUUGGUGCUUGGGGAUGUUUGAGGCAGAUUUGUUUCCGCCGUUUUGAGGCCAGCUUGCUGGUACCCAAACGGUGUUAGCAUUUUUUGUCUUGGGCAUUUGAGUAUGGCUCACGUGUAUUUAUUGGACCGAUCUGAGUGUAAGUUACGGUCGCAUGCGACACGUGCUUUUCAAUUAGUUCGGUCCAGUUAAUGCUCUCGUACUCGUUCCCCAUGUAAAAGCCGGUCAUCUAUCCGACCCGUCUUGAAACACGGACCAAGGAGUUUAUCGUGUGCGCAAGUUUUUGGGUGUUAAAAACUUAAAAGCGAAAUGAAAGUAAAUGACUCUUUAGAGUCUGAUGUGCGAUCUUGUAAAAAAGUGCAGCAUGGCCCCAUUCUAACUGUUUACAGUAGGGUGGCGGAAGAGCGUACGCGGUGAGACCCGAAAGAUGGUGAACUAUUCCUGAGCAGGACGAAGCCAGAGGAAACUCUGGUGGAAGUCCGAAGCGGUUCUGACGUGCAAAUCGAUCGUCUGACUUGGGUAUAGGGGGCGAAAGACUAAUCGAACCAUCUAGUAGCUGGUUUCCUUUCCGAA